GUUCCCAUCCCGAACACGGUAGUUAAGCUCCUCAGGGCCGAUGGUACUACGUGGGCAACUGCGUGGGAGAGUAGGACGUCGCGGGAU
This 87-nucleotide ribosomal RNA is filed under the name Deltaproteobacteria bacterium GWA2_54_12. The record is from RNAcentral. Lineage: Bacteria; Deltaproteobacteria.